GUUAAAGAUAUAUUUAGUUUUUUGCCUCUACAGUAAAAUAUGUUUUUUGGUCGUUAGCAGGUUUACACUUUAAGGCGACGAUAUUAUAUUUAAAAUAU
Molecule: long non-coding RNA, 98 nt
Organism: Rhagoletis zephyria (snowberry fruit fly)
Lineage: Eukaryota; Metazoa; Arthropoda; Insecta; Diptera; Tephritidae
Source: RefSeq, a predicted model, not a curated record